Molecule: ribosomal RNA, 497 nt
Filed under: uncultured bacterium
Lineage: Bacteria
Description: partial 16S ribosomal RNA
Rfam family: Bacterial small subunit ribosomal RNA
Source: RNAcentral
GAUGAACGCUGGCGGCGUGCCUAAUACAUGCAAGUCGAGCGAACAGACGAGGAGCUUGCUCCUCUGACGUUAGCGGCGGACGGGUGAGUAACACGUGGAUAACCUACCUAUAAGACUGGGAUAACUUCGGGAAGCCGGAGCUAAUACCGGAUAAUAUAUUGAACCGCAUGGUUCAAUAGUGAAAGACGGUUUUGCUGUCACUUAUAGAUGGAUCCGCGCCGCAUUAGCUAGUUGGUAAGGUAACGGCUUACCAAGGCAACGAUGCGUAGCCGACCUGAGGGGGUGUUCGGCCACACUGGAACUGAGACACGGUCCAGACUCCUACGGGAGGCAGCAGUAGGGAAUCUUCCGCAAUGGGCGAAAGCUUGACGGAGCAACGCCGCGUGAGUGAUGAAGGUCUUCGGAUCGUAAAACUCUGUUAUUAGGGAAGAACAAAUGUGUAAGUAACUAUGCACGUCUUGACGGUACCUAAUCAGAAAGCCACGGCUAACUACGUG